GCUCUACAACCCUUUGUGAACAUACCUAUAACUGUUGCUUCGGCGGGUAGGGUCUCCGUGACCCUCCCGGCCUCCCGCCCCCGGGCGGGUCGGCGCCCGCCGGAGGAUAACCAAACUCUGAUUUAACGACGUUUCUUCUGAGUGGUACAAGCAAAUAAUCAAAACUUUUAACAACGGAUCUCUUGGUUCUGGCAUCGAUGAAGAACGCAGCGAAAUGCGAUAAGUAAUGUGAAUUGCAGAAUUCAGUGAAUCAUCGAAUCUUUGAACGCACAUUGCGCCCGCCAGCAUUCUGGCGGGCAUGCCUGUUCGAGCGUCAUUUCAACCCUCAAGCUCUGCUUGGUGUUGGGGCCCUACAGCUGAUGUAGGCCCUCAAAGGUAGUGGCGGACCCUCCCGGAGCCUCCUUUGCGUAGUAACUUUACGUCUCGCACUGGGAUCCGGAGGGACUCUUGCCGUAAAACCCCCCAAUUUUCCAAAGGUUGACCUCGGAUCAGGUAGGAAUACCCGCUGAACUUAAGCAUAUCAAUAAGCGGAGGAAAAGAAACCAACAGGGAUUGCCUCAGUAACGGCGAGUGAAGCGGCAACAGCUCAAAUUUGAAAUCUGGCCCUAGGCCCGAGUUGUAAUUUGCAGAGGAUGCUUUUGGUGCGGUGCCUUCCAAGUUCCCUAGAACGGGACGCCAGAGAGGGUGAGAGCCCCGUACAGUUGGACACCAAGCCUUUGUAAAGCUCCUUCGACGAGUCGAGUAGUUUGGGAAUGCUGCUCAAAAUGGGAGGUAUAUUUCUUCUAAAGCUAAAUACCGGCCAGAGACCGAUAGCGCACAAGUAGAGUGAUCGAAAGAUGAAAAGCACUUUGAAAAGAGGGUUAAACAGCACGUGAAAUUGUUAAAAGGGAAGCGCUUGUGACCAGACUUGCGUCCGGUGAAUCACCCAGCUCUCGCGGCUGGGGCACUUCGCCGGCUCAGGCCAGCAUCAGCUCGCUGUCGGGGACAAAAGCUUCAGGAACGUAGCUCUCUUCGGGGAGUGUUAUAGCCUGUUGCAUAAUACCCUUCGGCGGGCUGAGGUACGC
RNAcentral lists this ribosomal RNA (1064 nucleotides) under fungal endophyte. RNAcentral's name for it is "eukaryotic LSU rRNA". The stretch from base 479 to 1064 matches the Rfam family "Eukaryotic large subunit ribosomal RNA", at positions 1 to 598 of the family's 3401-position model. Lineage: Eukaryota; Fungi. The record is from RNAcentral.